GAACUGAAGAGUUUGAUCAUGGCUCAGAUUGAACGCUGGCGGCAGGCCUAACACAUGCAAGUCGAGCGGAUGAGAGGAGCUUGC
This 84-nucleotide ribosomal RNA is filed under the name Pseudomonas sp. zfem001. Its description in RNAcentral is "partial 16S ribosomal RNA". It matches the Rfam family "Bacterial small subunit ribosomal RNA", at positions 1 to 83 of the family's 1533-position model. The record is from RNAcentral. Lineage: Bacteria; Pseudomonadati; Pseudomonadota; Gammaproteobacteria; Pseudomonadales; Pseudomonadaceae.